GCUCUAUCAUCAUGGGCCAACCGGAGGCCCGUUGAGAGUGAGGCCCAAUUGUCGGUGGACCAACUCACUGGUGCACGCGGCUGCACUCGACGUGUGGCCGGCCGUCUCCGUCUGCCAAUUUUUUUCGUGGACAUGGAAAUCUUGCAAGAUUUCACCCCGGUGGUUUUGUGAGGGAGAGAGCGAGGGAGGCGAGAGAGAGGAGAGAGUGGGAGAGAGGGCGUCGAGUUGAGAUCGGCGAUGGAGACGGCUAUCUGCAGCAGAAUUGCUCUCUCGCCCAACCAUGUUGUGAACCCUAAGCCAGGGGAUAAGCUGUCUCAACACAGAGGACCUUGUGCAAAUCGUGGCAUUCUUAUGGCAGUAUCAGUAAGUGGACCUGGAAAAGGAGGUGGUGGUUUGCUGGAAAGGCCAACCAUAGAAAAAGACAACACCUGGCCGUGAAUCUGAGUUUGAUUUGAAGUGACGAUGAUUUCGACUUGUAUUCAUGGGUGAAGUGCCGGAAGAUCGUCGUCAUGUUGAGCCAAUGCUCCGGGAUCAACCAUUUUUGUGGCGCUCUCAGAUGCAUCUCUUGUCUCCCCGCAUGUAUCUGACCAUGACCGGCGCAUUCAUCUCCCACGGACCGUCGUUGUCGGAUAUGAUGUUGGACGACAGGAACGCCAUGAAUCAGUUAAUACUGGAGCAGCACCAUCUUCCUAACACUUCAUCGACGCACCAAGCUCAUCAUCCCAUGGUAGAAGUGGGGAAGCAUGAUCAUCUCCUCUUACGUAACCUUCUUCAUCCGCUUAUAUGCCUUCUUGGCGUGCAAAGAACAUUGGUAGCUUGCACGGAAAAACCAUAGCAGUAGAUUCAUUUGAAUAUAUUUUUAGGGAUAUGAAUUGUUUAGCACAUAUAUUAGCAAAUCAUAGCAAAUAUGCAUA
Molecule: long non-coding RNA, 914 nt
Organism: Musa acuminata AAA Group (dessert banana)
Lineage: Eukaryota; Viridiplantae; Streptophyta; Magnoliopsida; Zingiberales; Musaceae
Exons: 3
Source: RefSeq, a predicted model, not a curated record